RNAcentral lists this ribosomal RNA (229 nucleotides) under uncultured bacterium. RNAcentral describes it as "partial 16S ribosomal RNA". It matches the Rfam family "Bacterial small subunit ribosomal RNA", at positions 568 to 796 of the family's 1533-position model. The record is from RNAcentral.
CGUGUAGGCGGCUUGGCAAGUCGGGUAUGAAAGCCCGGGGCUCAACCCCGGAACUGCAUUCGAAACUGCCUGGCUAGAGUUCCGGAGAGGAAGGCAGAAUUCCCGGUGUAGAGGUGAAAUCCGUAGAUAUCGGGAGGAAUACCAGUGGCGAAGGCGGCCUUCUGGACGGCAACUGACGCUGAGACGCGAAAGCGUGGGGAGCAAACAGGAUUAGAUACCCUGGUAGUCC